This 492-nucleotide ribosomal RNA is filed under the name uncultured bacterium. RNAcentral describes it as "partial 16S ribosomal RNA". It matches the Rfam family "Bacterial small subunit ribosomal RNA", at positions 29 to 507 of the family's 1533-position model. The record is from RNAcentral.
AGUGAACGCUGGCGGUAGGCCUAACACAUGCCAGUCGAACGGCAGCACAGUAAGAGCUUGCUCUUACGGGUGGCGAGUGGCGGACGGGUGAGGAAUACAUCGGAAUCUACUUUUUCGUGGGGGAUAACGUAGGGAAACUUACGCUAAUACCGCAUACGACCUACGGGUGAAAGCAGGGGAUCUUCGGACCUUGCGCGAUUGAAUGAGCCGAUGUCGGAUUAGCUAGUUGGCGGGGUAAAGGCCCACCAAGGCGACGAUCCGUAGCUGGUCUGAGAGGAUGAUCAGCCACACUGGAACUGAGACACGGUCCAGACUCCUACGGGAGGCAGCAGUGGGGAAUAUUGGACAAUGGGCGCAAGCCUGAUCCAGCCAUACCGCGUGGGUGAAGAAGGCCUUCGGGUUGUAAAGCCCUUUCGUUGGGAAAGAAAAGCAGCAGGUUAAUACCCCGCUGUUAUGACGGUACCAAAAGAAUAAGCACCGGCUAACUUCGUG